UGACUGUCUUUUAUCUUUAAUUUUAAAUUUAUUUAAGGAGUGCAAAUCCUCUUGGAAAAAAUAAAAGACGAGAAGACCCUUAGAGUUUUUAAAAUAAAUUUUUAUAGAAGCUUUUUUGUUGGGGCAACAAAAUUACAUUGUAGGGAAAUUAAUUAUAUUGUAUAUAAUACAUGACGAAAUUUUUUUGGAAAGAAUAAAUUACCUGAGGGAUAACAGCAUAAUUUUAUAUAUAAGUUUGUGACCUCGAUGUUGGACUAG
This 258-nucleotide ribosomal RNA is filed under the name Acanthophaedusa ookuboi. RNAcentral describes it as "partial 16S ribosomal RNA". The record is from RNAcentral. Lineage: Eukaryota; Metazoa; Mollusca; Gastropoda; Stylommatophora; Clausiliidae.